RNAcentral lists this transfer RNA (74 nucleotides) under Campylobacter sp. RM16187. RNAcentral describes it as "tRNA-Asp". It matches the Rfam family "tRNA". Rfam says of the family: Transfer RNA (tRNA) molecules are approximately 80 nucleotides in length. RNAcentral also lists the same sequence under 1 other name. The record is from RNAcentral. Lineage: Bacteria; Pseudomonadati; Campylobacterota; Epsilonproteobacteria; Campylobacterales; Campylobacteraceae.
GCGGCGGUAGUUCAGUUGGUUAGAAUAUCGGCCUGUCACGCCGGAGGUCGCGGGUUCGAGCCCCGUCCGCCGCG